UACGUAGGGGGCAAGCGUUGUCCGGAUUUACUGGGCGUAAAGCGCGUGUAGGCGGCCACGCAGGUCCGUUGUGAAAACUAGAGGCUCAACCCCUAGACGUCGACGGAAACCGUGUGGCUAGAGUCCGGAAGAGGAGAGUGGAAUUCCUGGUGUAGCGGUGAAAUGCGCAGAUAUCAGGAAGAACACCAAUGGCGAAGGCAGCUCUCUGGGACGGUACUGACGCUGAGACGCGAAAGCGUGGGGAGCGAACAGG
RNAcentral lists this ribosomal RNA (253 nucleotides) under uncultured bacterium. RNAcentral describes it as "partial 16S ribosomal RNA". It matches the Rfam family "Bacterial small subunit ribosomal RNA", at positions 524 to 776 of the family's 1533-position model. The record is from RNAcentral.